GCCCUUGUAGCUUAGUAGCCAUAGCGGCGGUUUCGUAUCUUGCAGAAAGAACCGCAGGUCGAGGGUGCAACUCCCUCCAGGGGCU
This 85-nucleotide transfer RNA is filed under the name uncultured archaeon. RNAcentral describes it as "tRNA-Thr(cgt)". It matches the Rfam family "tRNA". Rfam says of the family: Transfer RNA (tRNA) molecules are approximately 80 nucleotides in length. Their secondary structure includes four short double-helical elements and three loops (D, anti-codon, and T loops). The record is from RNAcentral.